CUAUUUAUAAAAAUAUUUAAAAAAUUGAGAUAUGAAUAAUCAAAAGAUUUAAAUGAAUAGAAUUAACUAAUUCAAAGAGCGAAAAAAGAAAUAAAAUAAUAUAGGCCUAAAUGCUCAAGCGCACAUUGUUCCUGAUUGUUCCUGUCAAUCAGACACGCAGUGUCAACCAAUGAACCAAAGGUGCGUGAGGGAGGGCCGAGCCAACUCACAGUCACACACUUAGCAGCCGAGGAGAGAGAGAGGAAGGAAAGCUGUGAAAACAACAGCUGGAAAAUGAGUUAGAAGCACAGUAGCAUUUGGAUGCAUUUUAAUAAUGUAGACAAUGUUAGAGCACAGUGUAGAAUUUGCCAAAACAAAAUCUCAUAUAAAGCCGGUUCUCCGCAAAACCUACACCGGCAUAUGCGAACUGUGCACCCAACUGUGAAGCUAGCUGUAGCGGAGCUUCGAGAAACUAGCGAGCCUGCUAGUGAUAGUGGUGGAGCCAGCAACUCCACACAUGGAGAUGUAUCCACUCAGUCAAGUAGGCCUACUCCGUUACCCACAGCAACGAAGUCUUCUAUGGACCAGUUUAUGCCAAAGUCUAUGUCUGUAGAAAAACAAGGCCAAAUUGAUAUUGCAUUGGCUAAAAUGAUUGCCACCGAUUUCCAACCAUUUUCGAUCGUGGAGGACAGAGGUUUUAGAAAUUAUAUCAAUAGUCUAAAUCCAAUGUACACAAUUCCAAGCAGGAAAACCCUUUCAAAAUCACUUAUUUCACAACUGUACGAGAGCACACAGGCUUCAGUGUGGGAAAGAGUCCAAAAAGCUACUGCAGUUUGUCUUACCACUGACUGCUGGACAUCAAGGGUAACCACUUCUUACAUGUCGGUUACAUGUCACUUCAUUGAAGAUUUUUUGAUGUCUAACUGUCUUCUGGACUGCUUUGAGUUCAGCAACAGACACACCUCAGAGAACUUGGCAGAGAAUGGCAAGUAGAUGGAAAAAGUGGUCUGUUGUGUUAGCGACAAUGCAGCUAACAUAACCAAAGCCAUGAAACAUUUUAAAAUGGACCCAUCAUCCAUGUCUUGCCCACACAAUCAACCUGAUUGUAAGAUAUGCUCUGAAGGUGAUGAAGCCCACUGUGGACGAAGUGAAAGCAGCUGUGGAAUACCUCCACAGGAGCACAGUAGGUGCUGAGAAACAUAAGUCUACACAACGCCAGAUGGGGACGCCUGAGCUGAGGCCUAAACACGACUGCACUUCAAGGUGGAAUUCAACAUUGUAUAUAUUGAAGCAGUUUCUUGAGUCAAAGAAUGCCAUCAUCUCUACCCUGGCCAUUGUCAAUGCACCUGUUGAUGCUCUGACCCAAGAGGAAUGGGAGAUGGUGGAGGAGGUGUGCAGAGUCCUGGAACCCUUUGAGCAGGUCACUGUGGAGAUCAGUGGAGAGAGCGAUGUGACAGCCUCAAAAAUGAUACUCCUGUGUAAGGGUCUGCAGAGAGAUGCAAAUGUAACCACAGGACAUGUGACAGAGUAGAUGGACACCCGAUGUUUAUCAACG
Molecule: long non-coding RNA, 1534 nt
Filed under: Salmo salar (Atlantic salmon)
Lineage: Eukaryota; Metazoa; Chordata; Actinopteri; Salmoniformes; Salmonidae
Description: lncRNA (ENSSSAG00000116767.1)
Source: RNAcentral